This 303-nucleotide ribosomal RNA is filed under the name Clostridioides difficile. RNAcentral's name for it is "partial 23S ribosomal RNA". It matches the Rfam family "Bacterial large subunit ribosomal RNA", at positions 669 to 971 of the family's 2925-position model. The record is from RNAcentral. Lineage: Bacteria; Bacillati; Bacillota; Clostridia; Peptostreptococcales; Peptostreptococcaceae.
UAGCGAAAGCGAGUUUUAACUGAGCGUUCAGUUACUUGACGUAGACCCGAAACCGGGCGACCUACCCAUGAGCAGGAUGAAGCGAAAGUAAAAUUUCGUGGAGGUCCGAACCCACGAGCGUUGAAAAGCUCGGGGAUGACUUGUGGGUAGCGGUGAAAUUCCAAUCGAGCCCGGGGAUAGCUGGUUCUCCCCGAAAUAGCUUUAGGGCUAGCCUCAAGGUGAGAGAUACGGAGGUAGAGCACUGAAUGUCCUAGGGGGUAUUGCACCUACCGAAGACUAUCAAACUCCGAAUGCCGUCAUCUU